CCUAUACUGCAGCUUUGCAGUGGCAUUAGGAGAGCGCUGUGUAGGAUAGGCGGGAGGCUGUGAAGCGUGGGCGCUAGCUCGCGUGGAGCCAUCCUUGAAAUACCGCCCUGCGCGCUUCUGAUGUCUCACCGCGUCCGGUCAGCCCGGACCGGGACCCUGCAUGGCGGGCAGUUUGACUGGGGCGGUCGCCUCCCAAAGUGUAACGGAGGCGCGCGAUGGUGGGCUCAGGCCGGUCGGACAUCGGCUGCUGAGUGCAAUGGCAUAAGCCCGCCUGACUGCGAGAGCGACAGUUCGAGCAGAGACGAAAGUCGGCCAUAGUGAUCCGGUGGUCCCGCGUGGAAGGGCCAUCGCUCAACGGAUAAAAGGUA
RNAcentral lists this ribosomal RNA (368 nucleotides) under uncultured alga. RNAcentral describes it as "bacterial LSU rRNA". It matches the Rfam family "Bacterial large subunit ribosomal RNA", at positions 2098 to 2465 of the family's 2925-position model. The record is from RNAcentral.